RNAcentral lists this ribosomal RNA (504 nucleotides) under uncultured bacterium. Its description in RNAcentral is "partial 16S ribosomal RNA". It matches the Rfam family "Bacterial small subunit ribosomal RNA", at positions 30 to 523 of the family's 1533-position model. The record is from RNAcentral.
AUUGAGCGCUGGCGGCAGGCCUAACACAUGCAAGUCGAACGGUAGCACAGAGAGCUUGCUCUCGGGUGACGAGUGGCGGACGGGUGAGUAAUGUCUGGGAAACUGCCUGAUGGAGGGGGAUAACUACUGGAAACGGUAGCUAAUACCGCAUAACGUCACAAGACCAAAGAGGGGGACCUUCGGGCCUCUUGCCGUCAGAUGUGCCCAGAUGGGAUUAGCUUGUAGGCGGGGUAAAGGCCCACCAAGGCGACGAUCCGUAACUGGUCUGAGAGGAUGAUCAGUCACACCGGAACUGAGACACGGUCUGGACUCCUACGGGAGGCAGCAGUGGGGAAUAUUGGACAAUGGGGGCAACCCUGAUCCAGCCAUGCCGCGUGUGUGAAGAAGGCCUUCGGGUUGUAAAGCACUUUAGGUCGGGAGGAAGGUUCGCUGGCUAAUAUCCAGCGGAAUUGACGUUACCGACAGAAUAAGCACCGGCUAACUCCGUGCCAGCCGCCGCGGUAA